Bos taurus (domestic cattle) is the source of this 1169-nucleotide long non-coding RNA. Lineage: Eukaryota; Metazoa; Chordata; Mammalia; Artiodactyla; Bovidae. The record is from Ensembl.
ACUCAGCCUACACUGCCACUUUUAUCUGUGAAGCAAACUCGGCUCCACUAGAUCGACCUUCUGAAUAAUGAUACCCAACUUCACUUACAUGUUAGCAACCACUGACACACUUUAAUUGUUCAUCAAAAACUGCUAAGUAUGUUUCUUUUUGGAGCUAUGGACAAUUUCUAAUUUUCAAGGUGAUAUUGAAUUAUGGAAUUGUGUCCCCCCCUUCCCCAAUUAAAUAGGUGUGUCCCAAGGUCACCCAACCUCAUGCUCUAUAGGCCUAGAGAGGGCUGGGUACCUUGUUCAAUAAAUACCACUGAUUGAUGGAUUGUUCCAUGACUGCACGUGGAUUAACCCGAGUGGACGUCUAAUGCCAGAUGAAAGAUAGUGACCCUACUUUGAACCCUCAUUGGCAGCUCACCAAGGAAUUUCCAUUUCAUCCAUUCCGAUUUCUGCAAGUUAUAAUGAAGCACUUUCUGAAACUCAUUAAAGGGAAGAAAUCCUUGAUUUACCAUGGCUAGCAAUCUCUUCCUCCUUUGCUUUCUUUUCUCUUCCCUUCCUUCUUUUGCACCCCCUUCCCUUCCCUUUCCCUUUCUAUUUACACCCAGAAGCAUUUAUUGCUGGCUACUGAGCUAGGAGCUGGAGACAUUCCAAGAGAUGCGCUUUUUCCUCCAACCUGCUUUAGAGGAGCCCCCAGAGCUGUGUCCAGGCCAUGAAAACAUCUUCUGCUUAUAGUGACACCUUAACUGAUGUUGAUUUUCUGCUAGUUGGUGACAAGCAUGAAUCCUUCGUAGAAAAAUCGCAGGAAUCGAGCUGUGUGGCUGGCUCUGCCCCCAGAGACCUGCUGCGUGAGCACAAGACUGCUCUUUUAUCUGUGACCGAGGAAGCUAACAGGAUGAUUCGGAGGCCAGGGGAAAACAUGCUCUAGGGAUUUCUCCUUUCAGAUACUAAAACAGGAGGAAGAUUAAUGGCUGGCAAAGUCACACUGCAGAUUAUAAUUCUCUUCAGGCAGGUUAUAAAGGUGCCCUGACACCCUCUGUGAGGUGGGGGAGAUGAGGAAGGGGAGGGCCACACAGCUGCUUUCAAAGCCAUUUAUCAGCAAAGAAUGUAUCGCUCAGUAAAAUGACACCAUGUCUAAAAAUCCUUGCCUGGCAACCCUAUCUGUUUUAUGUUGGAGUGUGAAC